Molecule: non-coding RNA, 451 nt
Organism: Paramuricea clavata
Lineage: Eukaryota; Metazoa; Cnidaria; Anthozoa; Malacalcyonacea; Plexauridae
Source: the annotation of a GenBank genome assembly
CACGUGGUUCAUAGACCCACGUGGGUAUCGUGACUAUCGUCGUUCCCUGGUCGUAUCGAAGAAGAACCGUACAUAUCGAGCAUAAUUUUUAUGAAACUUUGUCGAAAUAAAAUAGUUAUGCUAUGCAAAAGGAUAGGUUAGUAUUAAAUUUAGCUAUUUUUAACGUUUAUGCACUGUUCUUGUCAAUUUCUAGCCGUGUUUUGAAACGUGCUGCAAAUUCAUUGAAUUUUAUACACUUCGCCACCCAUUCAAGCGCUUCGUUCUCACUUUAAAAUAGUCGCUUUUUCCAUUCGUAUUUCUCCCAAAUUUUCUUGCAAUAAUGUUCCGAAAUACCCCCAGCUUUGAUUGAUAUAACUCAUAUUUGUUUUAUCUGCUGUUUCAGGACAACAAUUGGACAGGAAAGUUAACAAAGUUUAGUGAUAAGUCGCCGACCCGAAGCACGUGCACGUGG